ACAGAGGCACAAAAUAAAAUAAGAAUCAACCAGAAAAAGAGAAAAAGGUGAGGCAGAAGGAGCAUCACAGUACAAAAGCCAGGAGGCAAAUGAAUCCUCAUUCACUUUGCAGCAAGCUUCUACUGAAUGUGUUUUGACUAAUGAUGUCACAGAAACAACAGCAAACAAGGGAAACAGUCCUUGCUUUUAUGAGGUUUAUCCUGUAGUAGAGGAAAGAGGCAAGUAAAAAUUACAGUGUGUGCUCCACUGAGGAGUAAUAUGGAUGUUCUGAGAAGUCCAGAGCUUCCAACCCAGACUUGGGAGGAUAUGAGACCCAGUUGUUAAGCAUUUACCAGCAUAGCACUGCUUCAACUGAAGGCUGAACUAAAGGAUCUGAUUGUGAUGCACCCUCCCUGGCUACAUGAAGCUCAGCCACCAUCAUGAAUGACCCAGUAACUAUCUGGACCAGGAAGUUCAUAAUUAACCAACUACUUCAGUGGAAACAAAGGUCACUGAUAUUCUUCAGCCCAGAAAGGCAACAGUAUCAAGAGAGAAAUUUGGGGAAAAAUUAGCCAAAAUGUACAAGACCACACCAAAUGUCAUCUUUGUAGUUAGAUUCAGAACCCAUUUAGGUGGUGGCAAAACAACUGGCUUUGGCAUGAUUUAUGAUUCCUUGGGCUAUGAAAUAAAAAUAAAAGAACCCAAACAUAGACUUGCAGGGCAUGGCCUGAAAAAAGAAAAAGUCCUCAAGAAAACAGCAAAAGGAAUGCAAGAAUAGAAAAAAGAAAGGAAGACUGCAAAAGCCAAUGUUGGUGUUGGCAAAAAGUGAGCUAGAGAUUGGAUAACAGAAGGAGUAAAGAUUCUGCA
Molecule: long non-coding RNA, 846 nt
Organism: Canis lupus familiaris (dog)
Lineage: Eukaryota; Metazoa; Chordata; Mammalia; Carnivora; Canidae
Exons: 3
Source: RefSeq, a predicted model, not a curated record